Molecule: ribosomal RNA, 254 nt
Filed under: uncultured bacterium
Lineage: Bacteria
Description: partial 16S ribosomal RNA
Rfam family: Bacterial small subunit ribosomal RNA
Source: RNAcentral
UACGUAGGGUGCGAGCGUUGUCCGGAAUUAUUGGGCGUAAAGAGCUCGUAGGCGGUUUGUCGCGUCUGCUGUGAAAACGCGAGGCUCAACCUCGCGCCUGCAGUGGGUACGGGCAGACUAGAGUGCGGUAGGGGAGAUUGGAAUUCCUGGUGUAGCGGUGGAAUGCGCAGAUAUCAGGAGGAACACCGAUGGCGAAGGCAGAUCUCUGGGCCGUAACUGACGCUGAGGAGCGAAAGCGUGGGGGAGCGAACAGG